Molecule: long non-coding RNA, 1390 nt
Organism: Eufriesea mexicana
Lineage: Eukaryota; Metazoa; Arthropoda; Insecta; Hymenoptera; Apidae
Exons: 5
Source: RefSeq, a predicted model, not a curated record
AGGAUUAGAAAGCGUGUUUUGAACCAUUUAAAAUCAAUUAAAUGUGUAAGUUGGUAGUAUAUCUGCCAACUAUAUAUAUUCCGAGGUAUCAGAGAUUUACAGAAAAUGAGGUGAAUGCGACAGAUUGUCAAGCGACAACGUAAAAUCUCGUUCCCUUUAUUCGUUGGUGACAAGUGAACGCACGCAAUUUGGCGCUGUCAGCUGGAAACGCGGGAUUUUCAAAUUUUAAUCGAAUCCGUCUCGCCCGCGCGUUUUCCGUCGAUUAAACGCUUUACAAGCAUGGACGGCCACGUUCUCGAGCGAGAGAAAUAUUUCAUUGGCUGCGAUGCUACAUAAAAUAGGGUGAGAAAACGAAUUACUCUUGCAAACCGACUAAACUGCACACGAUACAUGAAUUAUAAUACGUUAAUAUGGACGCCAGCAACUGGGCAACAUCAUGGUAGACGAAAAUGUGGUUCCGGUCAACGACACGUUUCUAAGAAUGAUAUUGAUCCACUAUCGGUUUCCUGAAUUCGUAUGUGUAUUAGGAAAAAAACGAACGAUGGUUAGAUUUCGCAAGUAAAAAUAUAACAGUCGUCACGUGACAUACAUUCAUCGACUAGAACGCCAGUCGUAGGUCUUGUGCGCACAAUGUCCAUUUUCAUUCUGUUGGAACAAUAUCCGCGGCAUAAUAAUGAGAGCCUUGCUUCGUUUCCUAUGCAAAGGACCAACGCGCACUUUUAAACGUGCCGUAAUAAUACCUUACUAGAAGCAAUUAAGUGCAAAUACAACCGAUUGGGAUGAACGUGCACACUGGCGGAUGCAUUCAGGGGGUUAGGACGUUGAUAUAGAAUGGACGCGGAGGAAGUGGCUCAGGGGAUAGAAGUGGAGGGAGUGUAAAGAGGAAGGGACAGAGAGGAUAGAGCGAGGAAGGCGGAUCGGAAAUUGCUUCGAGCAUGCUCGCUCGCAAUAAUACCACGCCUGCCUAUGUAUGCAUGUGUACUAAGGCCCGAUCCUCUGUAUCCCUACAUGUAUACAGUCCAUGUGGCAGUACACGUGUAUAUGUAUACGAACACACUAAUACCAAAGAACGGUAAGAACAAAGCCGACGGCAAAUGACAGCAGUAAUUUUCGCAAACUGUUGUGGGAUGCGCGCUGAGGCAUUCAAGGUACCAUGCCGUCGUGCCGUUCUUCGAAAUGGUUUUCUUUUUGCCGUGUGGUUUUAUACUUUUUGAUAUGGUAGAUAAAUGGCGGAAUCUUGAAAAGUUAAGAAGAAUUUUUCGACAUUUUAACGAGCAGUUGAGUAAUAGUAUUUGAUAAUGUCGAAGAUAAGUCGAGAAACUUGGAAAACUUCACCACUCUGUUUCAAGGAGACCAGUUAGGCAAAAGUGCAACAACUUUGAUAGGGGCA